GAUGAAGAACGCAGCGAAAUGCGAUAAGUAAUGUGAAUUGCAGAAUUCAGUGAAUCAUCGAAUCUUUGAACGCACAUUGCGCCCCCUGUAUUCCGGGGGGCAUGCCUGUUCGAGCGUCAUUUCACCACUCAAGCCUCGCUUGGUAUUGGGCAACGCGGUCCGCCGCGUGCCUCAAAUCGACCGGCUGGGUCUUCUGUCCCCUAAGCGUUGUGGAAACUAUUCGCUAAAGGGUGUUCGGGAGGCUACGCCGUAAAACAACCCCAUUUCUAAGGUUGACCUCGGAUCAGGUAGGGAUACCCGCUGAACUUAAGCAUAUCAAUAAGCGGAGGA
This 330-nucleotide unclassified non-coding RNA is filed under the name soil metagenome. RNAcentral's name for it is "partial contains 5.8S ribosomal RNA, internal transcribed spacer 2, and large subunit ribosomal RNA". The stretch from base 1 to 119 matches the Rfam family "5.8S ribosomal RNA", at positions 35 to 154 of the family's 154-position model. The record is from RNAcentral.